Molecule: ribosomal RNA, 550 nt
Filed under: Wickerhamomyces sp.
Lineage: Eukaryota; Fungi; Ascomycota; Saccharomycetes; Phaffomycetales; Wickerhamomycetaceae
Description: eukaryotic LSU rRNA
Rfam family: Eukaryotic large subunit ribosomal RNA
Source: RNAcentral
UACGGCGAGUGAGCGGCAAAAGCUCAAAUUUGAAAUCUAGCACCUUCGGUGUUCGAGUUGUAAUUUGAAGAUGGUAACCUUGGGUUUGGCUCUUGUCUAUGUUCCUUGGAACAGGACGUCAUAGAGGGUGAGAAUCCCGUCUGAUGAGAUGCCCAUUCCUAUGUAAGGUGCUAUCGAAGAGUCGAGUUGUUUGGGAAUGCAGCUCUAAGUGGGUGGUAAAUUCCAUCUAAAGCUAAAUAUUGGCGAGAGACCGAUAGCGAACAAGUACAGUGAUGGAAAGAUGAAAAGAACUUUGAAAAGAGAGUGAAAAAGUACGUGAAAUUGUUGAAAGGGAAGGGCAUUAGAUCAGACUUGGUGUUUUACGAUUAUCUUCUCUUCUUGAGCUGUGCACUCGUAUUUCACUGGGCCAGCAUCGAUUCGGAUGGCAAGAUAAUGGCAGUUGAAUGUGGCUUCACUUCGGUGGAGUGUUAUAGCUUCUGCUGAUAUUGCCUGUCUGGAUCGAGGGCUGCGUCUUUUGACUAGGAUGCUGGCGUAAUGAUCUAAUGCCGCC